This 541-nucleotide ribosomal RNA is filed under the name uncultured bacterium. RNAcentral describes it as "bacterial SSU rRNA". It matches the Rfam family "Bacterial small subunit ribosomal RNA", at positions 777 to 1320 of the family's 1533-position model. The record is from RNAcentral.
AAUAGAUACCCUGGUAGUCCACGCCGUAAACGAUGAGUACUAGGUGUAGGGGGUAUCGACCCCCCUGUGCCGCAGUAAACACAAUAAGUACUCCGCCUGGGAAGUACGAUCGCAAGAUUAAAACUCAAAGGAAUUGACGGGGACCCGCACAAGCAGCGGAGCAUGUGGUUUAAUUCGAAGCAACGCGAAGAACCUUACCUGGACUUGACAUCCCCUGAAUAACUCGUAAUGGAGGAAGCCCUUCGGGGCAGGGAGACAGGUGGUGCAUGGUUGUCGUCAGCUCGUGUCGUGAGAUGUUAGGUUAAGUCCUGCAACGAGCGCAACCCCUGUCGUUAGUUGCCAUCACGUAAAGGUGGGCACCCUAACGAGACUGCCGCGGUUAACGUGGAGGAAGGUGGGGAUGACGUCAAAUCACCAUGCCCCUUAUGUCCAGGGCAACACACGUGCUACAAUGGGCAGAACAGAGAGAAGCAAUACCGCGAGGAGGAGCAAAUCUCAAAAACUGCCCCCAGUUCGGAUUGCAGGCUGAAACCCGCCUGCA